GGGUCGGUGGCGUAGCUGGUUAUCGCAUCUGUCUAACACUUCGUGCGCAGAAGGUCCUCAGUUCGAACCUGGGCCGACUCA
Molecule: transfer RNA, 81 nt
Filed under: Armillaria borealis
Lineage: Eukaryota; Fungi; Basidiomycota; Agaricomycetes; Agaricales; Physalacriaceae
Description: tRNA-Val
Source: RNAcentral